This 820-nucleotide long non-coding RNA is filed under the name Pan troglodytes (chimpanzee). RNAcentral describes it as "long non-coding RNA NONPTRT004022". Lineage: Eukaryota; Metazoa; Chordata; Mammalia; Primates; Hominidae. The record is from RNAcentral.
GCCUAAAGACCUCACCAGAAACAGAUGCUGGCACCAUGCUUCUUGUACAGUCUGCAGAACCAUGAGCCAAAGAAAUCUCUGUGCCACAAUGGCCAGGUAAUUUUGAAUUUUCAGUAGAGACAGGGUUUCACCUUGUUGGCCAGACUGGUCUCAAACUCCUAACCUUAAAUGAUCUGCCCACCUCGGCUUCCCAAAGUGUUGGGAUUACAGGCAUGAGCCACCAUGCCUGGCCAUAAGUUGAAAAUUUGAUAGAGUUGACUAUAUUUUAAAAAUUAAGACCAUCCUGCUGAUAGGGAAAGAAGGACUCAUGAUAACCCUGUACCAGGUACUGCCACACAGACUUUCUCCUUCAAUCCUCUGCACAAAUAAAACUUUAUUUCCAAAAACAGGCAGCAGAUGGGAUUUGGUCCACAGGCUGUAGUUUGUUGAUCUCUGCUUUAGGCUUUUGCUCAUUCUGUGUUCUUUUACUUGUCUACGUUAAACUCCUUUCAUCUGACCAACGCCCAUUCAAUUGUCACCUCAAGUCUGAGAUCUUGCCACACUACCCUGAGUAGAACUGGUCACGCAUACCACUGUGUUCUGUACACACCACCCUGACAAGUAACAGAAAAUUAAAGCUGUGUUUUCUCCCAUAACCAUAUUAUAAGCUUUAUUUAUUCAUUCAUUCACACAUGCAUAUAUUCACAGAUUCAUUCAUUUAACAACAUUUAACAACCACCCACUAUGGGGCAGAGCUGAUGACUUUUUAGUCUUUGUACAACACCCAGUGAAAGUAUAACACAUAAAACUUGCUUAAUACAUGCUUGUGAAGAAAAGGAGA